AACGAACGCUGGCGGCACGCCUAACACAUGCAAGUCGAACGGUAACGGCUCUUCGGAGGCCAACGAGUGGCGGACGGGUGAGUACGCGUAGCUACCUGCCCUCUGGCGGGGGACAACAGUUGGAAACGACUGCUAAUACCGCAUAUCUCCUACGGGAGAAAGACCUUCGGGUCACCAGAGGAGGGGGCUGCGUUGGAUUAGCUAGUUGGUAAGGUAACGGCUUACCAAGGCGACGAUCCAUAGCUGGUCUGAGAGGAUGAUCAGCCACACUGGGACUGAGACACGGCCCAGACUCCUACGGGAGGCAGCAGUGGGGAAUAUUGCGCAAUGGGGGCAACCCUGACGCAGCGAUGCCGCGUGAGUAAAGAAGGCCUUCGGGUUGUAAAAGCUCUUUUAGUAGGGACGAUAGUGACGGUACCUACAGAAAAAAGCUCCGGGCUAACUCCGUGCCCAGCAGCCGCGGUAAUUCCCUGUGCCAAGGCACACAGGGGGAUA
RNAcentral lists this ribosomal RNA (495 nucleotides) under uncultured Magnetococcaceae bacterium. Its description in RNAcentral is "bacterial SSU rRNA". It matches the Rfam family "Bacterial small subunit ribosomal RNA", at positions 36 to 538 of the family's 1533-position model. The record is from RNAcentral. Lineage: Bacteria; Pseudomonadati; Pseudomonadota; Magnetococcia; Magnetococcales; Magnetococcaceae.